CCUACGGGAGACUGCAGUGGGGGAUAUUGCACAAUGGGGGAAACCCUGAUGCAGCAACGCCGCGUGAGUGAUGACGGCCUUCGGGUUGUAAAGCUCUGUCUUCAGGGACGAUAAUGACGGUACCUGAGGAGGAAGCCACGGCUAACUACGUGCCAGCAGCCGCGGUAAUACGUAGGUGGCGAGCGUUGUCCGGAUUUACUGGGCGUAAAGGGAGCGUAGGCGGACUUUUAAGUGAGAUGUGAAAUACUCGGGCUCAACUUGAGUGCUGCAUUUCAAACUGUAAGUCUAGAGUGCAGGAGAGGAGAAUGGAAUUCCUAGUGUAGCGGUGAAAUGCGUAGAUAUUAGGAGGAACACCAGUGGCGAAGGCGGCCUACUGGACGGUGACUGACGCUGAGGCUCGAAAGCGUGGGGAGCAAACAGGAUUAGAUACCCGGGUAGUC
Molecule: ribosomal RNA, 440 nt
Filed under: uncultured bacterium
Lineage: Bacteria
Description: partial 16S ribosomal RNA
Rfam family: Bacterial small subunit ribosomal RNA
Source: RNAcentral